RNAcentral lists this ribosomal RNA (253 nucleotides) under uncultured bacterium. RNAcentral's name for it is "partial 16S ribosomal RNA". It matches the Rfam family "Bacterial small subunit ribosomal RNA", at positions 524 to 776 of the family's 1533-position model. The record is from RNAcentral.
UACGUAGGGAGCGAGCGUUGUCCGGAUUUACUGGGUGUAAAGGGUGCGUAGGCGGAUAAGCAAGUCAGUGGUGAAAUCUGUGGGCUCAACCCACAAACUGCCAUUGAAACUGCAUAUCUUGAGUGAAGUAGAGGCAGGCGGAAUUCCCGGUGUAGCGGUGGAAUGCGUAGAGAUCGGGAGGAACACCAGUGGCGAAAGCGGCCUGCUGGGCUUUAACUGACGCUGAGGCACGAAAGUGUGGGUAGCAAACAGG